RNAcentral lists this non-coding RNA (83 nucleotides) under uncultured Extibacter sp. Its description in RNAcentral is "S10-Clostridia ribosomal protein leader". It matches the Rfam family "S10-Clostridia ribosomal protein leader". Lineage: Bacteria; Bacillati; Bacillota; Clostridia; Lachnospirales; Lachnospiraceae. The record is from RNAcentral.
UGAUAGCGUAGAAGCGUGAGGUUGCUGCCCAUAGCCGGCAGGUUUUCCGUGGAGCGAAUGUCAAGUUAGGAAACUGGCGACAA